Molecule: long non-coding RNA, 308 nt
Organism: Mustela erminea (ermine)
Lineage: Eukaryota; Metazoa; Chordata; Mammalia; Carnivora; Mustelidae
Exons: 4
Source: RefSeq, a predicted model, not a curated record
CUGGAUUGCCCGGCCAGUAUCCCUGCUGACACAAGUGAGGAGGGAGAAGAGGGAGAUUGCACAUGGAGACCAAGACCGGAGUUUGGUGAUGGUGGCCAGCCUGUGCUGGCCACACAAAUUACUCGAUAUUUUCCAAGAUCGUGUUAAAGAAUUGACAGUGAGAACUGAAUUGGAAAUGAAAUUCUCAGGCUGAGAUUCUGGGUCCAAGAGAAGCCAACUCCAAGAGGGAGGGCCCCUGGGGCACCUUACACUCUGGGAGUACAGAGCCAAGAUAAUAGUUUGUGCUUGGAACAGUGCCAGGAAUGUGG